Molecule: unclassified non-coding RNA, 309 nt
Filed under: plant metagenome
Description: partial contains 5.8S ribosomal RNA, internal transcribed spacer 2, and large subunit ribosomal RNA
Rfam family: 5.8S ribosomal RNA (bases 1-105)
Source: RNAcentral
UAAAUGCGAUAAGUAGUGUGAAUUGCAGAAUUCAGUGAAUCAUCGAAUCUUUGAACGCACAUUGCGCCCCUUGGUAUUCCAUGGGGCAUGCCUGUUCGAGCGUCAUUUGUACCCUCAAUCUCUGCUUGGUGUUGGGUGUUUGUCCCGUCUCCGCGCGUGGACUCGCCCCAAAGUGAUUGGCAGCCGGCGUACUGGUCCCGGAGCGCAGCACAUGUCGCGCAAACGAGUGCCUUGGUACGGCGGCGUCCAUAAGCCCCUCUCUCACGCUCUUGACCUCGGAUCAGGUAGGGAUACCCGCUGAACUUAAGC